GUAUAAGUUUCAGGUCUGCCAUGAGAAUCAAUUGAAGAGCUAUACAGCUGGGGCUUUGAGCACCAGUUCUGAUUAUAGAAUUUUUAGUAGCUGUAAAGGGAGGAGUAAUGAGUAUGGAAUUGGAGUGUGGGAUCAAAUUAGUGGCAAACAGAUUGAUUUCUUUUAUGAGAGUCCAGGUUGGUCACUAGGUGAUGCUGAUAAAUUGCAGUGGUUGAACGGGAGCAAUUGUUUGUUGGUGGCUACUUUGUUUCCUAGAAAGGACAACUGUUACAUUAGUUUGGUGGAUUUUAGAGAGAAGAGGAUGGUGUGGUUUUGGUCUGAUAUUGGUGCUUCUAUGACUGUGGAUGAGAAAAGGGUUCGUGAUGCUAUUGCUAUGGAGGAUUGUAAUGCUAUUUGUGUGGUGAAUGAGUAUGAGGAGUUAGGGUUUAUGGAUUUGAGAAUGAGUGGAGGAAGCGUGAGAUGGAGUUCGAGGAGUCGAUUGAUGAAGGGAAAGAUGCCUGAUGAGCCUUGUUAUCCAAAACUGGCAUUACAUGAAGGGCAGUUGUUUUCAUCAAUGGAUGAUAGCAUUUCUGUGUUUUGUGGUCCUGACUGGGUUUUGACAUCUAGGCUUAGACAGAGUUAUGGAGGUUCAAUUUGUGAUUUUUCAAUCGGUGGGGAUAGACUCUUUGCACUUCACAGUGAGGAAAAUGUCUUUGAUAUAUGGGAGACUCCACCUCCACCAAUUUUAUGAUUCAGAUUACAAGGUGUGCUGGGUUUUUCAGUUAAUGUUUCUUACAUUCUGAUGUAAAUAGGUAUUUGAAAAGAUUUGCGUGUACAUAUUUUGCCUUUUAACUACUAUAUAAUUUAGAGCAAUGAAUCUGCUUG
Molecule: unclassified non-coding RNA, 864 nt
Filed under: Hevea brasiliensis (rubber tree)
Lineage: Eukaryota; Viridiplantae; Streptophyta; Magnoliopsida; Malpighiales; Euphorbiaceae
Source: RNAcentral